This 468-nucleotide ribosomal RNA is filed under the name uncultured bacterium. RNAcentral's name for it is "partial 16S ribosomal RNA". It matches the Rfam family "Bacterial small subunit ribosomal RNA", at positions 28 to 507 of the family's 1533-position model. The record is from RNAcentral.
GACGAACGCUGGCGGCGUGCUUAACACAUGCAAGUCGAACGGAAAGGCCCUGCUUUUGUGGGGUGCCCGAGUGGCGAACGGGUGAGUAACACGUGAGUAACCUGCCCUUGACUUUGGGGUAACUUCAGGAAACUGGGGCUAAUACCGGAUAGGAGCUCCUGCUGCAUGGGGGGGGGUGGAAAGUUUCGGCGGUUGGGGAUGGACUCGCGGCUUAUCAGCUUGUUGGUGGGGUAGUGGCUUACCAAGGCUUUGACGGGUAGCCGGCCUGAGAGGGUGACCGGCCACAUUGGGACUGAGAUACGGCCCAGACUCCUACGGGAGGCAGCAGUGGGGAAUAUUGCACAAUGGGCGGAAGCCUGAUGCAGCAACGCCGCGUGCGGGAUGACGGCCUUCGGGUUGUAAACCGCUUUCGCCUGUGACGAAGCGUGAGUGACGGUAAUGGGUAAAGAAGCACCGGCUAACUACGUG